CGGUGUUUAACUGGCGUGAUGUGGGACGUCCUACCGGUGGGCUUAGCCUCGCGAGGGGCGGCCCAACUAAUAUCCCGUCGCGGUGCUCUUUACUGAGUGUCGAGUCGGGCCGGUACGUUUACUUUGAACAAAUUAGAGUGCUUAAAGCAGGCUAUCCUCGCCUGAAUACUGCGUGCAUGGAAUAAUGGAAUAGGACCUCGGUUCUAUUUUGUUGGUUUUCGGAACCCCGAGGUAAUGAUUUAUAGGGACAGAUGGGGGCAUUCGUAUUGCGACGUUAGAGGUGAAAUUCUUGGAUCGUCGCAAGACGGACAGAAGCGAAAGCAUUUGCCAAAAAUGUUUUCAUUAAUCAAGAACGAAAGUUAGAGGUUCGAAGGCGAUCAGAUACCGCCCUAGUUCUAACCAUAAACGAUGCCAGCGAGCGAUCCGCCGAAGUUCCUCCGAUGACUCGGCGGGCAGCUUCCGGGAAACCAAAGCUUUUGGGUUCCGGGGGAAGUAUGGUUGCAAAGCUGAAACUUAAAGGAAUUGACGGAAGGGCACCACCAGGAGUGGAGCAUGCGGCUUAAUUUGACUCAACACGGGAAACCUCACCAGGCCCAGACACCGGAAGGAUUGACAGAUCUGAUAGCUCUUUCUUGAUUCGGUGGGUGGUGGUGCAUGGCCGUUCUUAGUUGGUGGAGCGAUUUGUCUGGUUAAUUCCGAUAACGAACGAGACUCUAGCCUGCUAAAUAGGCGUACCUUAUGGUAUCGCGAAGGCCCCCGGCUUCGGCCGGUGGGUUUUUACUACCAACGCACAACCAAAUCUUCUUAGAGGGACAGGCGG
RNAcentral lists this ribosomal RNA (820 nucleotides) under uncultured eukaryote. RNAcentral describes it as "SSU rRNA". It matches the Rfam family "Eukaryotic small subunit ribosomal RNA", at positions 629 to 1426 of the family's 1831-position model. The record is from RNAcentral.